CUGGUACAGGCCUGUACUGUACGCACAGAUCCAAUCAAAAACACUUGGAGUGAAGUUUAAAGUGUGUGUUUCUCCCCUUUUCUUUUCUUUCUUUUUUUUUUAUUAUUGACCUCAUUCCAGACUUAGUUUGGGAAUUGCAUGUCAAAUCACCCCCUCCUCUCCCCCCUCCUCUGUCUGGAAACGGGUAAAUGCGUUCCGUUUGUCAAAGCGUGUUAGCGAAGCGCCUGCAGCAAAUUCAUUACCGCCCAACUGCGAGGCUCACUUCGCAACCUGGUCAGGGAAGAAGGAGGGAGAGGUCCACGCCAAAAAAAAAAAAAAAAAAAAAAAAAAACCCCGAACAAUGCCGCCUCAGUUCGUGCGUGCAACAAAAGAACCGAGGGAACUUGUUUGAAUUUCAGAGCACGUCCUCUUCUCACACAGAAGGAUGGACUUUACAUCCCCGCCUCCCCCACCCCCCACCCCUCCUCAUCAUCAUCAUCACCCCCCCACCCAUCCCUUCCUCCUCAUCCGACCCCACCAUCAACAGGGAGAAAAAAAAAAAAACUUGCACACUGUGAGAGCUCAACUGUGCAUGCACUUUUUUUUUCCUAUUUGGUGCUUGUAGACGUUAUGGGAAAGUUGUCUCUCUCCCUUCUCCUCCCCAUCCCUCCCCUCUGUCCUUCUCCUCUCGUCUUGUCAUGUGCUCGGGAUGUGCUCAUGCUUUGCACAGAGAGCAGCUGUAGCACGCCUAAUGCAGGUUACAGAGUGUUAGCGGCAAUUUUAAAGUCCCCCCCCCCCCCCCCCCCCCACCUUCCACCUCCACCCAUCUCCGCCGCCACCAAAUAAUACGGCCGGGAUAUUGGAGGGGAACGUAUACCGCACCACGUACACGCGGAGCCCGCUCUUCCUCUCCUGCUUGGGACGCCUUCCUGACCGCUUGCAAGUGAUUUGACUCGCCAUUAGAAAUGAUGGAGAGAAAGAGCUGUGAAGAAGAAGUGCAGGCAGCAGGAAGUAGAGGUCAACACCAGAUCUCUGGGAUUUUGCUCUCCACUGGACCCACAUGAGGUUGGAUGGACACGUCAUUGAUUGUGACCCAUAAACAAGUGGCAUAAUGACUGGAGUCUCCACACUAAAGACGUCAAGGAUAUUCAGCUGAUCUCAGAGGUGGAUGAUUCUCCUGAUCAAGUGGAAAGGAGCCUGAAUUUCAGCAAGAAAGAACCAUCAAGAUAUAUCUCACAUGCUUUAGUGACAAUCUCACUAUGACCUGCACUGUACUUUAUAUUUCUGUAUUUCUGUCAACUAGUUCUAAGAUUGUUGACCAAACUGACAAUCCUCUCAACAAUGGACUGAAAAUAGUCAAUCCAACAAAUUCUUUGACUUUGCUCCAAUAGGCAUCAAUGUAUUUAUUUUUAAAUUUUUAUACGGGAGAACACUUCCCAAAAUAAGAUAAAAAUAUUCCACACAUUAAAACUUGCACCUAUUUCAUGUAAUUGAUUGAGUCUAACAAGGAUAUUUUUUGACAGCUAAAUAAAGACUUUUUUCUCCCUUUAAGUGAUGUUUUAAGUGUGAGUUAUUUCCAUCUUUUCUGUGGCACUCCAGGUAAAGAAAAAUGUGCUUGACAUAAUUGGG
Molecule: long non-coding RNA, 1608 nt
Organism: Amphiprion ocellaris (clown anemonefish)
Lineage: Eukaryota; Metazoa; Chordata; Actinopteri; Pomacentridae
Source: Ensembl